This 44-nucleotide transfer RNA is filed under the name Archilochus alexandri (black-chinned hummingbird). RNAcentral describes it as "partial tRNA-Ser". Lineage: Eukaryota; Metazoa; Chordata; Aves; Apodiformes; Trochilidae. The record is from RNAcentral.
AAACCAACAAGAAUUGCUAACUCUCGCAUCUGAGUCUAAAACCU